RNAcentral lists this ribosomal RNA (253 nucleotides) under uncultured bacterium. Its description in RNAcentral is "partial 16S ribosomal RNA". It matches the Rfam family "Bacterial small subunit ribosomal RNA", at positions 524 to 776 of the family's 1533-position model. RNAcentral also lists the same sequence under 1 other name. The record is from RNAcentral.
UACAGAGGUCUCAAGCGUUGUUCGGAAUCACUGGGCGUAAAGGGUGCGUAGGUGGCGUGGUAAGUCAGAUGUGAAAGCCCGGGGCUCAACCUCGGAAUUGCAUCCGAUACUGCUAUGCUUGAGUACUGGAGAGGUGACUAGAAUUCUAGGUGUAGCAGUGAAAUGCGUAGAUAUCUAGAGGAAUACCAAAGGCGUAGGCAGGUCACUGGACAGUUACUGACACUGAGGCACGAAGGCCAGGGGAGCGAACGGG